This 437-nucleotide ribosomal RNA is filed under the name Ehrlichia canis. RNAcentral's name for it is "bacterial SSU rRNA". It matches the Rfam family "Bacterial small subunit ribosomal RNA", at positions 48 to 508 of the family's 1533-position model. Lineage: Bacteria; Pseudomonadati; Pseudomonadota; Alphaproteobacteria; Rickettsiales; Anaplasmataceae. The record is from RNAcentral.
CUAACACAUGCAAGUCGAACGGACAAUUAUUUAUAGCCUCUGGCUAUAGGAAAUUGUUAGUGGCAGACGGGUGAGUAAUGCGUAGGAAUCUACCUAGUAGUACGGAAUAGCCAUUAGAAAUGGUGGGUAAUACUGUAUAAUCCCCGAGGGGGAAAGAUUUAUCGCUAUUAGAUGAGCCUACGUUAGAUUAGCUAGUUGGUGAGGUAAUGGCUUACCAAGGCUAUGAUCUAUAGCUGGUCUGAGAGGACGAUCAGCCACACUGGAACUGAGAUACGGUCCAGACUCCUACGGGAGGCAGCAGUGGGGAAUAUUGGACAAUGGGCGAAAGCCUGAUCCAGCUAUGCCGCGUGAGUGAAGAAGGCCUUCGGGUUGUAAAACUCUUUCAAUAGGGAAGAUAAUGACGGUACCUAUAGAAGAAGUCCCGGCAAACUCUGUGC